Molecule: long non-coding RNA, 2981 nt
Filed under: Homo sapiens (human)
Lineage: Eukaryota; Metazoa; Chordata; Mammalia; Primates; Hominidae
Description: HSALNT0332367
Source: RNAcentral
CGGGCGGGCCGUUACCUCCCGCGCAUGCUCUAUGGGGUAGAGACGCUAGGCCGGCACUGCCUAGGUGGGCCGGGCGGUGCGAGGGUCGCCUUUCAGCCUUUACCUCUACCCACUGAAAUGGAGUAGGUCGGUGAGCGCCGAUCUGCUGGAGAAUCUCAUUAUCCCAUCGGCGCUCUGCCUGCUCCUGGCCUCCAAGCCUCUGAAGCCCCUCGGGUUUCAGCUGCCGGCUACCCUCGAGCCCGUGGUGCCCACGAGAGAGGCGACUUUACGUCAGCGGCCCUGGGCUGAGAUUUGAGAACGCGACCAAGUGGAGAAUGUUGGAGCCAGAUUUUAAAAUCCUUGUCUUCCUUCUGCGUGCUACUUGAUCUAAAUGAGAUACGGCAAAGUCACAGAACCUGUUUUUAUGUUUUUGCCUGAUUCAUACGGGCUUCUCCGGUGAAGAUGGGCCUGAAGUAACGCUUGGGUUGCUUCUGACGUUAUAACUCAUCCUGUAGCUGCAGCAACCGUGGUCCUUGCAACCUCAUAAAAAUGUUGCCAGCAUUGUUUCGAUAGUGCUGCUUAAUUCUUGGAAGGUUCUUCGGACUUCACACAUUCCAGCAGUAGCUCUCUCAGCUCCUGUCCUGCACAGCUUUGAAGUGCUGGUGAUGUCAUUGAACUCUUAAGUGCAAGAUGAAACAAGUCUUUCUGGGGUUCUAAGUAGGACACAGCCCUGGUGAUGGCUUUCUGAGGAUGACACGAUGGAGGCUUCUCCAAUAGCUCUAAAACUGCGGUGUGGAAAACAUUCGGCAGCCUCAAAGAGCGGUCUUGUUGACCCCAACUAUAUCAUUUUUCAUCAAAAUCAUUCUUGUAAAGAAUGACCAGGCAACACUCUUUGAAAAUUGGAGGCCAUUUGCAGCUGCUCUCUGUUGAGGAAAGUGAAUAAUAGGGUGCCCUCAAGGAAUUGCAAAGGUAUCACUCAACAGAAACUUUCGUGUCUGAAGAAAACUAGAUCAUUUUAUCAUGGGACACGCUGCGGAUGGCUUGAGAUUAGUAUCUGCGCAGGUGCCAUUCUCACAGUGUGUGCUGUGAGAAUGUCGCAGACGUGUGCUGCUACUCUGGCACUCACACUUGUCCAGGCUGUUUCUUAGGUGGUCAUCUUGCCUGUGGUAUCAGAAAAAGGGAUUUCUACUUAGUAUUAAGAAGUUGAAACCAAAGUAGAAAAUAUUCAUCCUUUGCUUUCCCCAAACAAUUCUUCUGCCUAGAAAUGUCAACAACUUAACCACAUGCAAAUACCCAUUUGUGGACAAAUGUGUACAAAAGACAUUUGGGGUUCCCCUCUUUGAGACUAGAUUAAAGCUGACCAUAUAGAUAGGGAAGAAAACUGUUUUUCUCUGUAGCAUCAUAUUGCUGCUUUGUAUAUUUUCUGAUAGAGUAGCAUCAGGUCCUCUGGCUGCUUUAUUGAAAUCAUCUUUGACGUUUCUAACAAGGAAAUUUCCUGUGCAAAACUCUAGUUAGAGAUUUCAGUGACUUGUAUCACCAAGAGGAGGACCAUCAGCAUGCAGUGGAGGUCUAGGCUUCAGACAUGUGAGGCACACUGAGGAGCAGCUUUAUUUGCAAGAGGUAUUAGGAAUCUUCCUAACAAAGUUGACCUUCAGGAUGGGAGAAAUCAAAGCACAGACCAUAGAUCCAAAAAAAAUGGCUUCUGGUCAGAAAAGGUGAUCUGAGAUUAGGGGAAGAUGUGUCAUCAAUAUCAUCCCCUGGUCCAGCCCUGUGAAAUCACACCUGAGUGGUAGAGAAAUAUCUAUGAAAAAAUAGUAAAACAGAAACAAAUGUUUCUGUCUGGCAGACAGGCAGCUGCAUGGCUUUCAGGGCCAGGUAGAGGGGACAUCACAUGUACAUGGUGGCAGCGGGAUGUCCCCAGGUAGCAGAAAGUCGCAGGUGGCUCAUCAGAGACCCUAAAGAACUAGCCCCCUACUUGUAGGUGUCAGUGGCUGUGGUAGGAGUGGCCAUAGAUAGUUUCUGGUUACACAAGAUUGGUGUGGGAACAGCAUGACCACGAGAAAAAUCUGGGUUGACGGCCCCAGGGAGCUGGAGCAGAAUAUUAACAAUAGUAGCUAGCAUUUGAGUGCUGCCCAUGUGCUUGAAAAUGUUCUAGGUGAUUUACCUUUAUUAGCUCCUAUAAUUCUCAAAACGACCUCGAGUUAGGUCUUUCUAUUAUUCCUAUUUUAUAGACAAAGCAGUGGAGCCACAGAGAGGUUAAGUAACUUGCCCAAUGUCACACAGCAAAAAGUGGCAGAGCCACAAUUUUAAUUUGGGUUGAAGAGGAAAAUAGAUAAUGCAUAUUCCUAGGAUCUGAGAGAUGUUUGAGGUGAGGGGGAAUGAGAGGCUCUCCUUUGAAAGAAGCAGCAGGGGGUACUGAAACAGAGUAGAAGAGUGUGAAAGCUGGUGGGGUUGUUGUUGUUGUUGUUUUUAGUCCUAAGUUAGUGGCAUGAAAGCACUGCCCUGGAAGCGAUGGAGCAGCAAGUGCUCUACCCACAUGGAAGUCUUUGGGACCUGCACUUCAAUGAGCGCAGAGAGGAAAAGGAGAGAAGAACCAACACAACUGAAGCACCUACGAGCGUCAGGCACUGGCCCAGCUGCCAUGGACCCCCGAGUUGAAGGUCGUAUAACCUCAGCCUGCCCAAAUGAACCAAGCACACAACCACAGGGGGAACCCAAGAGUUCCAGUGGGAGAGCUGGAAGAGGAGGGACCAAUGUGAGAAGUGGACACCAUAUGGCAGGAUCCAGGAUCCAAUCAGACUGAGCCCUGGGGUCACCCCAUGGAAGGAUCCAGUUGGAUCAUGCCUCCUGGCAUCACCUACUGCAAGAUCCAAUCAGAUCACACCUCCUUACCCUAUGCUUAUAAAACCCCACCCAGCCCCCAGCCCGAAGAUACAGAUUUGAGUAUUUCCUCCUGUUUCCUUACCAGUCGAUUUGCAAUAAAGCUUUUUUUUUUUUCCUAA